Molecule: long non-coding RNA, 907 nt
Filed under: Rattus norvegicus (Norway rat)
Lineage: Eukaryota; Metazoa; Chordata; Mammalia; Rodentia; Muridae
Description: long non-coding RNA NONRATT005025
Source: RNAcentral
CCUAAGUUGUGUCCCAGUGGAAGAAGUAGUAAGAGAUAGGCAACAUUAUCAAGUUGAGCACUCAACAGUCGCCCAGCAGGAGUGGGCUGGAGCCCCAGCUGAGAGUCCCAAGCAGAGCGCCCACUCGAUUCUGUCUUUGGCUGAGCUUCCGGCUCUUCUGCCCCAUCGCUUCUGGCUCUUCUGCCCCAUCGCAGAAAAAGUUCUCUCUGAUGCCCAUUUUCUUGGAUUGCUAUCCACAAACACAUGGAGAUUCUAAACAGCUUGAGCGCCAUGAGCCCUUUUAGGGAAUUUGAUUAAGGCCACGUGUAAGGUCGAACGCACAGGACAGUGAAGAAGGACUGACAUUCAGUUCCACAGACGUCCAGAAAAUAAGACUGUGCUGUUUUAAAUAAAAAUAGCACCGUUCCAUCGCUAAUUUUAACCCAGAGAACAAGCUCCUUCCUUUAAAUAGGGCCCGUUGGAUGGAUUCCCGAUGCAGCACCAUGGUGGCUGUCCUCCACGAAGUUCACACCGGAGUUCACACCCGAGAACUGCAGAGCUGAGGUGCACGUGCUCGCACAUACAUACAAUGUUACCAGCAUACCUACAGCCAUGAGGCGGGCCAUCUGCAGCUCAUGGGUGGCGAAACCUAGCCUCAUGGACAAGACCUUGGGAAGUACACUUAUUUAAAGAGGAGUGUGCCAGUCAUGCAUAACUUUGCUGAGAGCGGACAGCGUGGGCCAACCAGUGUCUAAGGAGGAAAACACUUAAAAGACUGGAACACAGAAGCAGCGAGUCAGCGAGAUGAAGACAGAAGCUUGUAACUCACCAGUCCACCCGUGGCCAUGUUUUAGUAACCUAAGAGUGCUUUCUGUUAAUUUCAACUAUUCUUGUUGUUUCUGUAAUAUAUCUCUUUCCUGGUUAAAAU